This is a long non-coding RNA of Dermochelys coriacea (leatherback sea turtle), 3987 nucleotides long. RefSeq lists it as uncharacterized. The record is from RefSeq and is a predicted model, not a curated record. The transcript is spliced from 3 exons. NCBI's taxonomy places the organism in Eukaryota, Metazoa, Chordata, Testudines, Dermochelyidae.
CAGGAGGAAAAUCAAAUAAGAGGAUGCAACAAUAGAGAAAGGAACCACAGAAGAUAGGAGAAUGGAUAGCAAGAGGAAAGAUUAAUUCAAACUGGAAUAGGUGCAGAGAAGAGCUACUAGGAAGGAGUGGAAAAGAGCUACAGAAGAAUGGAGAACCUGUCUUAUCAGAGAAGACUUAUGGAGCUUGGCUUGUUUAGCCUAACAAAACAAAGGCUGAGAGGAGAUAUGAUUGCUUUAUAAAUAUAUCAAAGAGUUUGCUGAUUUCCUGUUAAGUCAAGAUCCCGGUUGUCAUGAGUCCACUAUGCUCUACCAGGAGUCUCCUCAGUAAAUGGCUAAUGAAAUGUCUUUUUGCUUCUCCUUAUAUUUCCCAAAGUUUAUUGUCUUUGUUUCCAGAGUCAGGAUGAACUCCUGGGGUUUAGACUCCUGUGCCUUCCCAUGCUGAUUUCAUGCUCCACAUCAGCCUGGCAUUUCCUGUAGACUUCCAUGCAAAUACAGCUCCUAUUGCAUUUGGCUCCACAAUGCUCAAUUUACAUUAAAGACAGGGAUAUAGCUACUUCCCUCCUGGCUGGAAGAAGACCUGUUUCUCCCUUUUGUUUGGUUACAGACUUUAAAUCUAAUAUCAGUAAGGAGCCAUAAUUCCUCAUACACUAUUAAUACAUACAUUUCAAGAUUAUAUUAAAGAUCAAUGUAUUACUAGCUGGCAUUCCAUAACUUACACGACACUCUUUAUAGAGCAAUACUAUGACAGCAAUGCAUUAGGUGUUUAUCAGGCUUGAUAAGAGUUGGUGUUACAUGACGGUGGACUCUUUGCCAGUUGGCAUUGAGGGUCUCUGAGGGCCACAAGCACAUCCUGCUCACUUUACCCACUGCAAUAUCCCCAUUGAAGUAAAGGGGACUCCAAGUUGUGGUAUGGAUUUUGUGACUCUUACUCCUUCUGGCUGAGAUUUUCAAAGCCACCUGAAGGAUUUGGACACCCAACUGCCAUUAGAAAUUAAUAGGAGUUGAGUGUCCAGAUCCCCUAGACAGUUUUGAAAACCUUGCCCUCUGAGUUGUCCUACUGACCUCAAUGGGCCUGCCCAUGGGGUAAGGUGCUAUUCAGCAUCAGUGCAGCAGAAUCCAACCUGGGUGUGUAAAGUGAGCAGGAUUGGAGCAAUGACUGUCAUGCUAAAACUAUCCUCAACAGUCAUUUAAAGUUAAAAUGAUUUACUUGUAGGCUUUCUGAUCAGUCCAUGGAAAUUUUAUGGCCUUAUGCCCUGGUUUAUGAGCCUUGAAAUGAGUUUAAAUUAGCUUAGUAGCACUUGGAAAAGUUGGUAAUGUCUUUCCUUAUUUGGCUGGGGAUGGGAGGAAUUCUUUCCUGAAUGUAUUGUUUUUCUUAGUGUGUUUGCUGCUGCUGUUUUUUUUUUAAAUGUGAUUCAAAAGUGUACAAGGGCAAAGGAAAAAGGGAUCACUUUCCCAGCUCUCUUGAAUGUCCCAGAUGGGCUUCAAUUAUUAACAUAAUAUGAAAUUCUGUUUGAAACAAAACAUCUUUUCUACCCUGGAGUAAUUAACACAGUUUACCAAUUUCCUUUCAUGUUAUCUAUACUUAAAAGGGCACACUUUCAAAAUGUGUGUGAGGGGGGAUAGGUAGGCACACAAAUCCCUUUAUGUAUGAAUGGGAUUUGUUCAUACACUUCCUACACACAAGUAAAAUAAGUACAGGGAUCAGAAACUACUGAGCACAACUUUUUUCUUGGAAGUCAAAAUCCUAUUAUUUCCAAAGGGCCUGCCAGCUCUACCAGUGAAUUUAUGCUUCAUUAUAAUUAGAGCUGCUUGCAUUCUAUUAACAAAAUACUUUGUAAUUUGUAUAUACUUAUCUUUAGACAAUUAUGGUUAUUUCCCCGCUCUUUUGCUGUUCCUAGUUGAUUAUUAAAGCAAACUGUUGAGCCCUAAUAAUAAUGUACAAUGUAUUCCAGACAUCUAAAGACAUGCCAGACUCACCAGGGGAAAUCAAUCACAUUUUAGUAUUCAUUCUCAAGCAGCCUACUGUUCUGUCACUGUGGGCAUGUCUUACUGUAGUACUCCAUUCGAGUCCUACAAGCAGAGAGGCUCCAACUGACAAGUUCAGAAGUACAGCUGACACUCUGCAUAUGCUAAUCAUAUCUGUGAAUGGAAAAACAAAGCUAUUGUGCUGUGUGCAAAGACAGUUGUGGAGCUCUAGGAUACAGUUGACCUUAAGAACCUCUCUAUCCAGCCUUGAACCUUUAGGCUUUAAAGGGAAUCAUCCUAAAUCCAUUCCAUAAGCUUGUGGCGGAUUUGGAAUACUUUUACUUGAGACUGUUUAGUUGCUUUAAGAGGUCAUUAUUGACCCCAUCAGUUUCACGGCAAAAUGUUCUAGUUUGAAUUUAAUAUCUUGAAAAAGAUCUUUGAAAGAAAUAACAUUGUGAUUUGACAAGUGGGCACUGUCUGUUAAUUUGUGCAUCUUUUUAUAAGAAAUUUGGGUGAAUGGUGUUUUUAUCACAUUAGUUUUGCAGUUGAUCAAGCCUCUGUAGUGUUGAACAUGGGGAAAAUCGGGGUUUAGAUCUGGAAUACAUCUGAACUUCCUGGCUCAGGAUUAUUUUAGAACCCCAAAUCUGAACAGCCUCAAACUUUGGGUAAGUUUGUGUUUGGACAUGAAUCCAGAUUUCUACUUUGUAGAUCAGGCCCAUCUCUUCUCUAUUUACUACAGCAGCCCUGUUAUUUCCUGUACCUCAUUAUACCAUGCAUAUUCCCUGCAUACAGCACUUGCCAAUUGAUGGACACUUUCUCUUCUGAUUCCGCACUGCAGUCCUUGCUGGUUGUUGUUCUGCCCUUAAAUUCUAUUAGAUAUAACAUUUAAUACUACAAAAGUCAAUGAAAGUUCAUAAGACCCUUAAAUCAGUAGAUCCUUCAAGAAAGUGUAGGUUUAAAGUAAUAUAUACACCUCUGGACUGCUGGAAAAUGUUAUUUAAGUUUUUCAUUUCCUGAAUAACAGUUUUAAAUUAAAUAAUCUGUGUGAAACCAAAGUUGUGAGGUGAGUCAAUGCUAAUAAUAGUUUACUUAGGCUAUAUGUUGAACCAAGAGAAAUUGAAAAGCAUCCAGUUUCAAACUUCAGUACAAGUGUUCAAAACAAGUGUUUUGUUUGGGACAAAAAUCCAAAUCACUCUACUUCAAAAUCACUGAAUAAGAAAUUGACUGCAUUAGACUCUCUUCAGGUCACUACAUACCUUAUAGGCUUGAUUCACCACUGCUUUUGCAAAUGGCUAGCUUCAGUGGAUGAGGGAGUCACCAUUGACAGAAGGCAGGUGUCAUUUGCAACAUAGCCUCAUCUCUACGGUUUCAAAAGUGGGAGGGUAGCUUUCACUUGCAGCCAGGGAGAUGGUGGAUGCUGCCAGAAAGAUAGAUCAUCAAAUUCUACGGCAGACCUGGUUGUGUGAUAAAAAUGACUCAAGUGUGUCUGGAAAAUGCAGUGCUGUCAAAAUCAAAACACUCUCUGAAAUUGUGCCAUUUUUGCCAAAAUCUCAAUUUUGGACAAAAUGGAGCAAAAUUCUGACACUAGAACAAAAUAUUUCAUUUUUUCAUCUUGAAAUGAUAUUUUGUUUCAAUGGUUUUAUGUUGCAUUAUAUAAAAUAGGUCUAAAUAGAAAUAACUUUUUCACUCCCAAUUUUAUUUUAUUUUAUUAGAAUUUUCUUUUGUGGAUAACAUCAACAUUUUGGAUUUUUGCUCCAAAUUUAACUGAAAAAAAAAAGAGGUCAAAAUCUUGAAAUCCUUUGCAACAUGAAAUUUUCAUCCUCUGCACAGCACUAGUUCUUGUUUGUUUGUUUGUUUGUUUGUUUUUGUUUCAUUUUUUAUCCAUAGUUUGAGGAGUUUAACUGUAAACUUAAUUGUAAAGUGUAAACCCAGUUGAUCUUUCAAAUUAAAUAAAUGAAAAGGUUAAAGUAUAAACUGUAUAAUGCCGUGAAUUACUGAGGCACAGAGACCAAAUCAUUGGCA